UACGAAGGGGGCUAGCGUUGGUCGGAAUUACUGGGCGUAAAGCGCACGCAGGCGGAUUGAUAAGGCAGGGGUGAAAUACCGGGGCUUAACCUCGGAAUUGCCUUUGAUACUGUCUGUCUUGAGUCCGGGAGAGGUGAGUGGAAUUCCUAGUGUAGAGGUGAAAUUCGUAGAUAUUAGGAAGAACACCAGUGGCGAAGGCGGCUCACUGGCCCGGAACUGACGCUCAUGUGCGAAAGCGUGGGGAGCAAACAGG
This 253-nucleotide ribosomal RNA is filed under the name uncultured bacterium. RNAcentral's name for it is "partial 16S ribosomal RNA". It matches the Rfam family "Bacterial small subunit ribosomal RNA", at positions 524 to 776 of the family's 1533-position model. The record is from RNAcentral.